RNAcentral lists this long non-coding RNA (570 nucleotides) under Anas platyrhynchos platyrhynchos (common mallard). Its description in RNAcentral is "lncRNA (ENSAPLG00000031226.1)". The record is from RNAcentral. Lineage: Eukaryota; Metazoa; Chordata; Aves; Anseriformes; Anatidae.
CACUGAGCUACCUCUGGCCAUGUAACCUCUGUGGAAAGGGUGUGCUGUCCCAGCUUAGGUCAAAAGCAGUUCAGAUCUCUAAGUUAUCAUCACAGCUAUCACUUAAAAAUACAGUAUGCACAACUCCUUGGUGCCUUGGACACUGGAACUGGGUCUAGCAAUGUGUGGAGGCAUGGAGUUGGCUUUGCAACCAAAAGCCAUCUCAGCCUGCCGACAUUAACCUCAGCAGACCUUCAGGACUUGGGAUACUCAGCAGACCUUCAGGACUUGGGAUACUGCAGCCUUGAAGCUCCUGUAGCGGAGCAUCCUUAUUGGAGCUUUGCUCCAACCGUUCACAGUCUAUGUGUGAUGCUGAGGCUAAAAGAAGAAGUGCCCAGGUUUCCUUCAGCAUACCUUCAGUUGCCCAUGCAGCAAGGUGGAUGAAAUUUGCUUGUCCUGAAAUGGAUGUUUAGACCUGCAUUGUGUUCACUGUCCUGCUUCAUAAACUGGUGCCUUGUUUGGCUAUCAUAUGGGUUGCCACUCACAGGAAAAGAAAAUAAAUAAAAAUUAAAAAAAAAAAAAAAAAGAAAA